CACAUUAGUCCUUUUAUAUUUUAUAAAAUUAUAAAAUGAUAAAUGACAUUUUAGCAUUAAAAUUUGAUAACAUUUUAAUCAUUUAAAAGUUAUAAAGAUAUAUGCUGAUGUAAACGGGCCAAUUUACCCGGGUCCACCAAAAUACAAAAUAAACAAAAAUUAAACCCGAACCCAAUACAAGCCCAAAUAAAUAAACAAAAAAUCCAAAUGUUAAUAGUCCAUUAAGUGUCCAGUUUACAGGCCCAACACACCAAGACCAAUGAUAAAAUCGGCCCAAAUACAAUAGGCCCAAUGCCCGAAAGCCAAAACCAAGGUAGAAACCCUAGCCUAUGGUUGCGUCGCAGCUAGCCUCCAGCGCCUCUGUACGCUCCAGCACUCCAGUAGUCAAGUCCGCGCCUCCGUACACCUCACGCCAAGGGCCAGCGCAUGCCCCGUACUCUAUACCUGCAAACGAACGAGACAAACAAAGCAGCAGCAAAUAGGAAACAAUGAAAGAAUUGUAUUUUUAUUUUUUGAUUUUCUUUCUUUUCGGCUAUAAAGCCAAGAGUUUUGAUUCUUGUAAGGGGACACGCACAAUAGAUACAUUUUUUGAAAUACAAAACGCAUAAAAAAAUCGAAAGGUGAGAUUCAGAUUUGGUUCUUUUUUUCGAUUUGUUUUCCUCUCCGUUUUCUCGUUUCUCCAGAUUUACAUAUUGCGCAUUUUGAACAUAAAAAUCGAAAAGGAAGAAAAGAGAAGCUUUACCUUUGUAAGUGCGCCAUGGAGAUCUCCAUCCCCUUCGUCGAUAUCGAAGGCGGAGAGAGGACUUCGUGGCUAGAGUCAUCAAACCUUAGAGUCGAGGAAAGAGGGAGCUCCACCGUAGGCUAUUAUCCACCAAUCGUGAUGGUGGAAUAAGGGCCGAACGGCGGGCUGAAUAAGAGCAAUCAUCUAGGGUUUCCAAUUUUCCCUUUAGUUCUGCAGAAAUGUUUUAAUUUUCAAGCUGAUUUUCCCUUUUAAUUGAAGGCAUGAAGCGACGCUGUUUCAGGCAAGAUUCAAUAGCCUUGAAACGACGCCGUGUAGGCUCGCCCAAUCGAAUCCGACUCGAAUACCCUCAAGACCCGUGUGUUUUUGCGGUGAAGGGUUAUUUGCACAUCUAGUCCAUUCCUUUCGCAUUAAUGCUUAAUUAGGCCUAGUCUAGAUUUCUUUAUUUUCUUUAAUCCGCCCUAUAAUUUGUGCACAUUUGUGUUUUGGUCCGCGCUUUAGUGAUGCGUUUUGUGACCUGGAUUAUUUCCAGUUCUAGUCCUUACGCACUUGCGCGCAUGGCAUAUUGGUCCCUAUUGUUAUUAUUGUUUUAUUUUCGAAAUUUUCCUUUGUUUUAGUUUAAUUUUAAUUAAGUCUAUU
Molecule: long non-coding RNA, 1378 nt
Filed under: Gossypium barbadense (sea-island cotton)
Lineage: Eukaryota; Viridiplantae; Streptophyta; Magnoliopsida; Malvales; Malvaceae
Description: long non-coding RNA (GBAR_LNC001841)
Source: RNAcentral